Non-coding RNA from Caenorhabditis elegans, 67 nucleotides. The record is from Ensembl. NCBI's taxonomy places the organism in Eukaryota, Metazoa, Nematoda, Chromadorea, Rhabditida, Rhabditidae.
GAGGAAGAAGCUCGUUUUGAAUUCUUAUGACAUCGCGGUUGUAUCAUUAUGAUUGGGCGCAUACACA